RNAcentral lists this long non-coding RNA (2157 nucleotides) under Homo sapiens (human). RNAcentral describes it as "HSALNT0166807". The record is from RNAcentral. Lineage: Eukaryota; Metazoa; Chordata; Mammalia; Primates; Hominidae.
GACUGUUUCAAAAAAAAAAAAUUGCAUUGAAAUAUUACUUAUUUUGAUGAUUGAGAUUUUUGGCCUCCCCUUAAGUUUUGCAUGCAAGGUAAGGGCCUCAUGGGCCUGGCUGCAGUCCCAGGCUGAGCUAGGCACUCCACAAUAUUUUGUUUGGGUAAAGUGAUGGGUGGGCUCUAGAGCUCCCUCACAGCUGUAUCCUUACCUCAAAGGGGCAGAUUAACUUAGAUUUACAGAAACGACAGCUGAGGAGGUAAAUCUGAGUCCCUCUGGAGGUGAAGGUGCUUCUGAGCAUGUUGUCCAGCCCCUUCCUUUUUUAGACAGGAGAACUUACUCAGAGAUAAUAAGUAAAUGACAUACAGUUUAUACAACAAAACUUCCUUGGGAAAUGAUGCUUUGCUUUUCCUGGGAGACCAUUUAGUGUUAGGGUCAGGAGGAGCUAUGGGGAGGUGAGGGCAGCCAGAUGCAAGGGGAGUAGAGGUCUGGGCUGUGCCUGAGACUCUCACAGAUCCUUCCCCUUCCUGACUUCCCAGGUCUGGUGUGACCUGCGUCAGGUUUCAGGGAGCUGGGCUGCAGACUGCUGAUGCUCUAGUGCCUAGACCUGCAGCCUUGCUGUCUUCUCCCACCCCAGCUUGAGGACCAAAUACCACUCUCCUCUCUGUUGGAGUGGAUUUUUCUCCUAAAACCAAAGGAGGCACUCUUCUUCCCCAAUCUGAAGUUUUUGUAUUUUGCUAUUACAGACCUGCUCUCUGGUCUCUAAAUCUGGAUUCCCAAUGUACCCUGGGUGCCAUAGAGUUGGCAGUUACUUUCCUGGGGGAAGAGGGUAGGACUUCAAUGUUCUGAAAGUGACAGAUCUCCGAGUUCCAGAUAUGGGUGUUCAGCAAAUUUCUCAGUCUCUUCUAACAGGCCCUGCUUUGCAGGUGACCCGGCGCUUUGGGAUCCCAGGGCUGAAGAAAAUCAUGGACUGGUUUGGCUACUAUGGAGGCCCCUGCCGCGCCCCCUUGCAGGAGCUGAGCCCCGCUGAGGAGGAGGCACUGCGCAUGGAUUUCACCAGCAACGGCUGGCUCUGAGGGCAGGCAGGGUCCAUGGCUGGCCUGAGCCCAUCUCAGCCUCCUGCCUUGCACUUGCAGCCUGAAGCGGAGAGCACAGGGGGAUGAGGGUGGCAGGCAGCGGGGAGCCGAUAGAGGCUCCUUUGCCUGCUGUGGUCCUCCAGGCAGCCUUUCACAGGCACGCCCAUGCAUAUCUCCUAUUCUAACGGCCCCUGACCUCUCCCUUUUGGAUCCUAAACUGUGUCUCUGGUCUGAAGACUGGGAAGGAGCAAUUUCUCAAUUUAUCUUUCUACUGUGGAUGCUUUCCUACGCCCUGAGGCACAUGAAGUCAGAAAGGAAGGGCAGAGGGGCAAGUAGGCACAGUAAGGGAAUUUUCUUUUCUUUUUUUUUUUUUUUGAGACAGAGUUUCACUCUGUCACCCAGGCUGGAGUGCAAUGGCAUGAUCUCGCCUCCUGGGUUCAAGCGAUUCUCCUGCCUCAGCCUCCCGAGUAGCUGGGAUUACAGGCGCCUGCCACCACGCCCAGCUAAUUUUUGUAUUUUUAGCAGAGAUGGGGUUUCACCGUGUUGGCCAGGCUGGUCUUGAACUCCUGACCUCAGGUGAUCCAACUGCCUCGGCCUCCCAAAGUGCUGGGAUUACAGCUGUGAGCCACUGCACCCGGCCGGGAAUUUAUCAAAGGGGGGACUACUUAGAUUUGGGGCUUCAAACCUGAGUCUAGCACAAUGCAGCUGGAGGCCAGGGCUACUCCUACAAACCCAAGUUCUGACUCCUUCCAGGGAAGUAUCAGCUUAAGAAACUUGAUCAGGAAAGUGACACUGGUCUUUCAAAGAGCCCUCUUUACCCUCCCAUCCCUGCCCUCCACACUGCAAGCUGCAUUCCAGCCACAACGCCCUUUUCUAAAUCUAUUUUCAUUCAUCUCCUAUUCUGGUCUGUAGCCUUGAUUCCAACCAUUGAAUGCACGGAGACAGCCCAGUGGCUUGUCAGAUUGGUAAAUAAUGACACCUGGUGGAUAAAUGUUACAUUCUAGAAGACUAUUCUGGUCAGCCUAGGUCUGAAACACUAAGGAGACUUGGCCUGAGAUAGGGCCAUCCACUUGCCUACAGGCACUCUGCU